Molecule: long non-coding RNA, 224 nt
Organism: Larimichthys crocea (large yellow croaker)
Lineage: Eukaryota; Metazoa; Chordata; Actinopteri; Sciaenidae
Exons: 3
Source: RefSeq, a predicted model, not a curated record
UUGCCAUCAGCAUCGGAGUCACAGUGUCAGCGGGGGAGAGAGAAGCUCAUUGUUUUCUUGAAGCCGAAGUCACUCUGCCCUCAGAUCACAGACAGACCCAUGGGGUUUGAUGAUUUGAUAGAAGAAGGAGAGAAGAAAGCCCGCUAUCAGGCACUCAGACAGAUGGAUGCUUUUUUGCCUUGCAACAAGCAAAAACAGCUCCGUCUCGAUGUGAAAGGAGAAGA